RNAcentral lists this ribosomal RNA (163 nucleotides) under Deschampsia cespitosa (tufted hair grass). RNAcentral's name for it is "5.8S ribosomal RNA". It matches the Rfam family "5.8S ribosomal RNA". Rfam says of the family: 5.8S ribosomal RNA (5.8S rRNA) is a component of the large subunit of the eukaryotic ribosome. Lineage: Eukaryota; Viridiplantae; Streptophyta; Magnoliopsida; Poales; Poaceae. The record is from RNAcentral.
ACACGACUCUCGGCAACGGAUAUCUCGGCUCUCGCAUCGAUGAAGAACGUAGCGAAAUGCGAUACCUGGUGUGAAUUGCAGAAUCCCGCGAACCAUCGAGUCUUUGAACGCAAGUUGCGCCCGAGGCCAUUNGGCCGAGGGCACGCCUGCCUGGGCGUCACGC